UACGGGGGGGGCAAGCGUUGUUCGGAUUUACUGGGCGUAAAGGGCGUGCAGGCGGUUUGUUAAGUGCAGGGUGAAAGCUCCCGGCUCAACUGGGAGAGGUCCUUGCAUACUGGCAAACUCGAGGGAGGCAGAGGAAAGUGGAAUUCCCGGUGUAGUGGUGAUAUGCGUAGAUAUCGGGAGGAACACCUGUGGCGAAGGCGGCUUUCUGGGCCUUACCUGACGCUGAGACGCGAAAGCGUGGGGAGCGAACCGG
This 253-nucleotide ribosomal RNA is filed under the name uncultured bacterium. Its description in RNAcentral is "partial 16S ribosomal RNA". It matches the Rfam family "Bacterial small subunit ribosomal RNA", at positions 524 to 776 of the family's 1533-position model. The record is from RNAcentral.